RNAcentral lists this ribosomal RNA (315 nucleotides) under Triticum aestivum (bread wheat). RNAcentral describes it as "partial small subunit ribosomal RNA". The record is from RNAcentral. Lineage: Eukaryota; Viridiplantae; Streptophyta; Magnoliopsida; Poales; Poaceae.
AUGGCCCUGAGCUCCACGAAAUUCGUCGCAAUUAACCAGCUCUCGCGUUGGAUCCAGCAAGAAUCGAGCCGCAGCCCCCUCUGCAUCUCGGAUUCCUGCUCCUCUGUCACGAGCGACGGUCGCGAGCAGCGGCGGGACCUGGAUGAGGUAGGCGACCCUGGCGAUGCAGUCGUCCUGGAGUGCGCGCACGGCGUCCUCGGCGCGUGGCGGAAGGGCGCUCCUCAGCCGGGGCCGGGACGAGCGGUGUCCUCUGCUUUCCCCUCGGUGCGACAACGGCGACGGCGUCCUCGGCGCGUGGCGGAAGGCCGCCCCUAG